GAAUCCUGACACAGGGAGGUAGUGACAAGAAAUAACAAUACAGGGCUACUUCUAGUCUUGUAAUUGGAAUGAGUACAACUUACAUCUCUUCACGAGGAUCAAUUGGAGGGCAAGUCUGGUGCCAGCAGCCGCGGUAAUUCCAGCUCCAAUAGCGUAUAUUAAAGUUGUUGCAGUUAAAAAGCUCGUAGUCGGAUUUCGGGUCGGGCCGAGCGGUCUGCCGAUGGGUAUGCACUGUUUGGCGCGGCCUUCUUUCCGGAGACCGCGGCUACUCUUAACUGAGCGGGCGUGGGAGACGGAUCGUUUACUUUGAAAAAAUCAGAGUGUUUCAAGCAGGCAGCUCGCUCUUGCAUGGAUUAGCAUGGGAUAAUUGAAUAGGACUCUGGUGCUAUUUUGUUGGUUUCGAACACCGGAGUAAUGAUUAACAGGGACAGUCA
This 434-nucleotide ribosomal RNA is filed under the name Phaeocystis sp. JD-2012. RNAcentral describes it as "SSU rRNA". It matches the Rfam family "Eukaryotic small subunit ribosomal RNA", at positions 446 to 884 of the family's 1831-position model. Lineage: Eukaryota; Haptophyta; Phaeocystales; Phaeocystaceae. The record is from RNAcentral.